RNAcentral lists this ribosomal RNA (484 nucleotides) under uncultured bacterium. RNAcentral's name for it is "partial 16S ribosomal RNA". It matches the Rfam family "Bacterial small subunit ribosomal RNA", at positions 30 to 507 of the family's 1533-position model. The record is from RNAcentral.
AUUGAACGCUGGCGGAAUGCUUUACACAUGCAAGUCGAGCGGCAGCACGGGGGCAACCCUGGUGGCGAGCGGCGAACGGGUGAGUAAUACAUCGGAACAUGCCCAGUCGUGGGGGAUAACACUUCGAAAGAAGUGCUAAUACCGCAUACGUCCUGAGGGGGAAAGCGGGGGAUCGCAAGACCUCGCGCGAUUGGAGUGGCCGAUGUCAGAUUAGCUAGUUGGUGGGGUAAAGGCCUACCAAGGCAACGAUCUGUAGCUGGUCUGAGAGGAUGAUCAGCCACACUGGGACUGAGACACGGCCCAGACUCCUACGGGAGGCAGCAGUGGGGAAUUUUGGACAAUGGGGGCAACCCUGAUCCAGCCAUUCCGCGUGAGCGAAGAAGGCCUUCGGGUUGUAAAGCUCUUUCGGCAGGAACGAAACGGUGAGCUCUAACAUAGCUUGCUAAUGACGGUACCUGAAGAAGAAGCACCGGCUAACUACGUG